CUCUUGUCUGAGGAAGAAGCCCAGAAGAGGAGGGAGAGGAGAGAAAAGGAGUCUGGAAUGGCUCUUUCUCAGGUAAAGUCAUAUUCUCAGUUGAUUUUUCUGUCUUUCCAGAAAUGCCCUUCUUUGGACUCGCUGGUCUCGUCUGAAGUGUCCUGCCUGACACCUGUACAGUCACAGUCACCCGGGUCCUUCCCUCAGGGCCUGUCACCUCCACUUAGAUCCCAUCUCCCCAUGACCUGGGACUUGUGAAGAGGCUCCACUGGGCCUAGUCCUGGGCAGGGCUUCACACCCAUGGACUGGAGAUGGGGUGCCGGUGCUACUGGGCAGCAGGGAUUACUGAGGGCCCCCAUCUGGAUGCACUGUCUGCUCUCUGAAAACCAGGAUAAAGAAGCUGUACAUGCAAGUCAGAUACGAUGAGGUCUUCUCCGGCCGUGUACAGACCUUCCUCCCGCUCUGUCACGUGAGUACCGAAGGCGGCCGGGCGUCCAGCUCCUUCAUCUGGCUCUGCUCUCAGCUGCUCGUCUGAGAUUUCCCGGAGCUCGGGCACUUUGGCCGGGUCUUCCUCAUGAGAACCAUCAGAAGACCUCUAAUGGAAAGAAUCCUUAAACGGCCUUGUUUGCUGAGGGACGAAAUAAGCACUUCUGGGAAAUCGCUAAGAUCAAAACUGCCUUCUGCACGCUGUGGGCUCACACGACUGUCACGGCCGCUCAGGUCUAAGCGGUGUGUUGGCAACAGACCUGCACAGACUGGACAGGAGCUGCUCUCUGCAUAUGUUUAGUUCUUUAGUUCUUAACUGCUACAAAAUCCUGGAAAACAGUUAAAUAAAUAGAAACAGAAAACAGACCCUCAAGACUGUCCAGUCCUCACACAAAGGCACCUCGCGCCGUUGUGGGAAGACCCGCCAGAGAAAGGAGGUCCACCCAAGACGCCCCCGGACCACCGUAACUCAGACCAGCUUUCACCCCUCCGCCCCUGACCCCGGCAUGCGAGAAGGGAACGCACCUUCUCAAGAUCCAGGGAAGUCCAAGAUACCUUCCUGAACG
This is a long non-coding RNA of Aethalodelphis obliquidens (Pacific white-sided dolphin), 1043 nucleotides long. RefSeq lists it as uncharacterized. NCBI's taxonomy places the organism in Eukaryota, Metazoa, Chordata, Mammalia, Artiodactyla, Delphinidae. The transcript is spliced from 3 exons. The record is from RefSeq and is a predicted model, not a curated record.